This 754-nucleotide ribosomal RNA is filed under the name Acinetobacter calcoaceticus. Its description in RNAcentral is "bacterial SSU rRNA". It matches the Rfam family "Bacterial small subunit ribosomal RNA", at positions 52 to 798 of the family's 1533-position model. Lineage: Bacteria; Pseudomonadati; Pseudomonadota; Gammaproteobacteria; Moraxellales; Moraxellaceae. The record is from RNAcentral.
CCCAUGGCCAAGUCGAGCGGAGAGAGGUAGCUUGCUACUGAUCUUAGCGGCGGACGGGUGAGUAAUGCUUAGGAAUCUGCCUAUUAGUGGGGGACAACAUUUCGAAAGGAAUGCUAAUACCGCAUACGUCCUACGGGAGAAAGCAGGGGAUCUUCGGACCUUGCGCUAAUAGAUGAGCCUAAGUCGGAUUAGCUAGUUGGUGGGGUAAAGGCCUACCAAGGCGACGAUCUGUAGCGGGUCUGAGAGGAUGAUCCGCCACACUGGGACUGAGACACGGCCCAGACUCCUACGGGAGGCAGCAGUGGGGAAUAUUGGACAAUGGGCGCAAGCCUGAUCCAGCCAUGCCGCGUGUGUGAAGAAGGCCUUAUGGUUGUAAAGCACUUUAAGCGAGGAGGAGGCUACUUUAGUUAAUACCUAGAGAUAGUGGACGUUACUCGCAGAAUAAGCACCGGCUAACUCUGUGCCAGCAGCCGCGGUAAUACAGAGGGUGCAAGCGUUAAUCGGAUUUACUGGGCGUAAAGCGCGCGUAGGCGGCUAAUUAAGUCAAAUGUGAAAUCCCCGAGCUUAACUUGGGAAUUGCAUUCGAUACUGGUUAGCUAGAGUGUGGGAGAGGAUGGUAGAAUUCCAGGUGUAGCGGUGAAAUGCGUAGAGAUCUGGAGGAAUACCGAUGGCGAAGGCAGCCAUCUGGCCUAACACUGACGCUGAGGUGCGAAAGCAUGGGGAGCAAACAGGAUUAGAUCCUUGGUAGGCCCAA